RNAcentral lists this ribosomal RNA (197 nucleotides) under uncultured bacterium. Its description in RNAcentral is "partial 16S ribosomal RNA". It matches the Rfam family "Bacterial small subunit ribosomal RNA", at positions 328 to 539 of the family's 1533-position model. The record is from RNAcentral.
ACGCUCGACACCUACGGGAGCAGCAGUGGGGAAUAUUGCACAAUGGGGGAAACCCUGAUGCAGCGACGCCGCGUGAGCGAAGAAGUAUUUCGGUAUGUAAAGCUCUAUCAGCAGGGAAGAAACUGACGGUACCUGACUAAGAAGCACCGGCUAAAUACGUGCCAACAGCCGCGGUAAUCUGAGCGGGCUGGCAAGGC